Long non-coding RNA from Grammomys surdaster, 728 nucleotides. RefSeq lists it as uncharacterized. The record is from RefSeq and is a predicted model, not a curated record. Lineage: Eukaryota; Metazoa; Chordata; Mammalia; Rodentia; Muridae. The transcript is spliced from 2 exons.
UGACAGCAGGACUCUCUUUAGAGGAUAGGAGAGGGUCCUCACACUCAGGAAAUGAGUAAACUUCCUGGGUAUGAAAAAGAGGAACUUAAAAGCUUCAGAUGACCCUCCAAGGCUAUAGUCUGAGAAGGCUCUGGCCAACCCAGCUUCAGAGAAAAUUCCAAACCUGUCCCUGUGGUUUCAGCUCUGCUGUUUCCGGAGUCACACGUCAAGGUGGGCACUGCAGUGACAUAGCUGUUGUUGAGCUCCAUUUGGUCAGCACUCUGCAGACUCACGCUGAUUAGAAGCAUGUCCUAAGACAAGACUCAUGCUGAAUCAAGACCCGUGCUGGAACAAGAAACAUAGAGGAGAUGUGACAGAGUGAAGGAGACAGCACUUGGCUUGCUGGGACAGAUAGCUGUGCAAUGCUUCGGUCUCGCAACUUCACUGAUCUCUUCCCUGAGAGGCACUGCCAAGAAGUAUUCCUGGUGUCCUUCCAGGUCCCUCCUGCUGACUUGAGCCAAGGCUGGGGCCUGGCUGUCUCUGCUUAGUUGUGCCACCGCUGCUGACUCCUAGACUGCUGAUGUAUCUGUGAAGUGUUUGUGGGUGGAUCAAGCUGCUGCUGCUGCUGCUGAUCUAUGAGAUCCAGACAACAGAGGUGUCUGCUUCCCUGUAUCCUUUCUUUCUCACUACCUCUGGUAGGUGGUGGGCUACAAGAGACAUUAAAAAUGUUUAAGAAGCAUCAUUUAAAA